RNAcentral lists this ribosomal RNA (369 nucleotides) under Necator sp. HH-2015. Its description in RNAcentral is "SSU rRNA". It matches the Rfam family "Eukaryotic small subunit ribosomal RNA", at positions 1016 to 1387 of the family's 1831-position model. Lineage: Eukaryota; Metazoa; Nematoda; Chromadorea; Rhabditida; Ancylostomatidae. The record is from RNAcentral.
CGCCCUAGUUCUGACCGUAAACUAUGCCAUCUAGCGAUCCGAUGGGGUAUUGUUGCCUUGUCGAGGAGCUUCCCGGAAACGAAAGUCUUUCGGUUCCUGGGGUAGUAUGGUUGCAAAGCUGAAACUUAAAGAAAUUGACGGAAUGGCACCACCAGGAGUGGAGCCUGCGGCUUAAUUUGACUCAACACGGGAAAACUCACCCGGCCCGGACACCGUAAGGAUUGACAGAUUGAAAGCUCUUUCUCGAUUUGGUGGUUGGUGGUGCAUGGCCGUUCUUAGUUGGNGGAGCGAUUUGUCUGGUUUAUUCCGAUAACGAGCGAGACUCUAGCCUGCUAAAUAGUGGCUGGAUUUUUACGUCCAGUCUACUUC